AGAGUUUGAUCAUGGCUCAGAACGAACGCUGGCGGCGUGGAUAAGACAUGCAAGUCGAGCGCUGAUUUCAGGGUAGCAAUAUUCUGAAGUUGGAGCGGCGCAAGGGUGCGUAACACGUGGGUAAUCUGCCAUGAAGUCCGGGAUAACUCGCUGAAAGGCGAGCUAAUACCGUAUGUGACGAUCGGAAGGCAUCUUCUGAUCUUCAAAGCUGGGGACCGUAAGGCCUGGCGCUUCAUGAUGAGCCCGCGGCCUAUCAGCUAGUUGGUGAGGUAACGGCUCACCAAGGCUAAGACGGGUAGCUGGUCUGAGAGGACGACCAGCCACACUGGAACUGAGACACGGUCCAGACACCUACGGGUGGCAGCAGUCGAGAAUUUUUCACAAUGGGGGAAACCCUGAUGGAGCGACGCCGCGUGGGGGAUGAAUGGCUUCGGCCCGUAAACCCCUGUCAUUUGCGAACAAAUUGGUUCACUUAAUACCUGAACCAUUGAUAGUAGCGGAAGAGGAAGGGACGGCUAACUCUGUGCCAGCAGCCGCGGUAAUACAGAGGUCCCAAGCGUUGUUCGGAUUCACUGGGCGUAAAGGGUGCGUAGGCGGUCGGGUAAGUCUGAUGUGAAAGCUCUGGGCUUAACCCAGAAAUGGCAUUGGAUACUAUUCGGCUUGAGGUCUGGAGGGGGGACUGGAAUUCUCGGUGUAGCAGUGAAAUGCGUAGAUAUCGAGAGGAACACCAGUGGCGAAGGCGAGUCCCUGGACAGAUCCUGACGCUGAGGCACGAAAGCUAGGGGAGCAAACAGGAUUAGAUACCCUAGUAGUCC
RNAcentral lists this ribosomal RNA (815 nucleotides) under uncultured bacterium. RNAcentral describes it as "bacterial SSU rRNA". It matches the Rfam family "Bacterial small subunit ribosomal RNA", at positions 8 to 796 of the family's 1533-position model. The record is from RNAcentral.